AGAAUGUUAACUCCUUUAACUUGUGGACAAUGACUGACAGACAGGUGCAAAAUAUAAAUCCUGUUUUGCAACUCAGAGCUCAUUAAUCAGUAUGAGUUUUGAUACAUACAAGCGGGAAUAGG
Oryctolagus cuniculus (rabbit) is the source of this 122-nucleotide small nucleolar RNA. NCBI's taxonomy places the organism in Eukaryota, Metazoa, Chordata, Mammalia, Lagomorpha, Leporidae. The record is from Ensembl.